This 490-nucleotide ribosomal RNA is filed under the name uncultured bacterium. RNAcentral describes it as "partial 16S ribosomal RNA". It matches the Rfam family "Bacterial small subunit ribosomal RNA", at positions 28 to 507 of the family's 1533-position model. The record is from RNAcentral.
GAUGAACGCUAGCGAUAGGCUUAACACAUGCGAGUCGAGGGGCAGCAUGGUCUUAGCUUGCUAAGGCUGAUGGCGACCGGCGCACGGGUGCGUAACGCGUAUGCAACUUGCCUCACAGAGGGGGAUAACCCGUCGAAAGACGGACUAAUACCGCGUACACUCUAUGUUGGGCAUCCAAUGUAGAGGAAAUGAAAUUCGCUGUGAGAUAGGCAUGCGUCCCAUUAGCUAGUUGGUGAGGUAACGGCUCACCAAGGCGACGAUGGGUAGGGGAACUGAGAGGUUGAACCCCCACACUGGUACUGAGACACGGACCAGACUCCUACGGGAGGCAGCAGUGAGGAAUAUUGGUCAAUGGGCGAGAGCCUGAACCAGCCAAGUCGCGUGAAGGAUGACUGUCUUAUGGAUUGUAAACUUCUUUUAUACGGGAAUAACAAGAGUCACGUGUGGCUCCCUGCAUGUACCGUAUGAAUAAGCAUCGGCUAACUCCGUG